CCUGGUCAUAGUGGCUGACAACCGACCACCUUAUCUCUACAGGACCCUCGUGACGGUACUCAGGCAGCCCGGAGGACACACUCGAAGGAUUCUUGUGUAUGUACACGGCCACCAUCCGGAGGUUGUCGAGCUCCUUGAACUUCUACAGGUCCCUUACGAGGAGGACCUGGUCGAGGUCGACAGCCAGAUCGAGGGUAAGAUCGCCGAGCACUACCGCA
Penaeus vannamei (Pacific white shrimp) is the source of this 218-nucleotide non-coding RNA. The record is from RefSeq and is a predicted model, not a curated record. NCBI's taxonomy places the organism in Eukaryota, Metazoa, Arthropoda, Malacostraca, Decapoda, Penaeidae.